UAGGGAAUCUUCCGCAAUGGGCGAAAGCCUGACGGAGCAACGCCGCGUGAGUGAAGAAGGAUUUCGAUUCGUAAAGCUCUGUUGUUAGGGAAGAAUGAUUGUGUAGUAACUAUACACAGUAGAGACGGUACCUAACCAGAAAGCCACGGCUAACUACGUGCCAGCAGCCGCGGUAAUACGUAGGUGGCAAGCGUUGUCCGGAAUUAUUGGGCGUAAAGCGCGCGCAGGUGGUUUAAUAAGUCUGAUGUGAAAGCCCACGGCUCAACCGUGGAGGGUCAUUGGAAACUGUUAAACUUGAGUGCAGGGGAGAAAAGUGGAAUUCCUAGUGUAGCGGUGAAAUGCGUAGAGAUUAGGAGGAACACCAGUGGCGAAGGCGGCUUUUUGGCCUGUAACUGACACUGAGGCGCGAAAGCGUGGGGAGCAAACAGGAUUAGAUACCCUGGUAGUCCACGCCGUAAACGAUGAGUGCUAAGUGUUGGUCUCAUAAGAGAUCAGUGCUGCAGCUAACGCAUUAAGCACUCCGCCUGGGGAGUACGACCGCAAGGUUG
This 548-nucleotide ribosomal RNA is filed under the name uncultured bacterium. RNAcentral's name for it is "bacterial SSU rRNA". It matches the Rfam family "Bacterial small subunit ribosomal RNA", at positions 355 to 896 of the family's 1533-position model. The record is from RNAcentral.